Long non-coding RNA from Cyprinus carpio carpio, 3619 nucleotides. The record is from Ensembl. NCBI's taxonomy places the organism in Eukaryota, Metazoa, Chordata, Actinopteri, Cypriniformes, Cyprinidae.
AGUUUAUUAUGGAGGACUUGAAGCCCGAGGGCUGGCGGCAGCUACUUCAGCCCCAUGGUGCAGCUGGCAAAAACAGCACAAGUCUCCUUCGCAGGUCCUCAUCAUGGAGGAGGCCUGGGGAGCGGGGUUAUUACGAGGGCCCCGCGGCGCAGGUGAAUGAGCCCCCUCGCAGAGCUCGUCCACUGAGCUGCAUAGAGGGUGGCAGGAUGGACAAAUGGCUUCAGACACUAGAGAGACUCCAAUCACGUCGGCUUCAGAAUCAAAUACCUCCGUUUGUGGACAGGACGAUAUCAAUGCCAGUUCCCUCGAAUGAGACAGCGGGAAGUAACCCACUGUGUCCUGAUGUUUCCUCUCUGCGCAGGAGGAAUCAGACCCCUAGCGUCUGUCCCAGAGUGAGUGAAAGCUCCUCGAGCAGUCUGGAGUCUGUUCACAUUAAAGCUGCUCCCGCUGCAGAAAGAGCUCAGUUCUGCGCUCUCGCUCCAGUUCACUUCGGCUGGCUGCCCAUACAAAGACAUGUGAUACUGACAGACAUCUGUCAUAACCACCAUGACAACAGUAGGUGCCAGCAGAAACUGAAGUCUCCCAUCACUCCAGUGUUGCUCAGCACUCCUGCCAAACUUAAUGGACCAAGACCAAAUGACAGGGAGACUUCGAGGCCUGAACCUGUAGGCUUUAGAUACUGGAAAACACCUGAAAAAACACCAUCCGUCCUCCAUCAGGCUUCGGGAUCCGUGAGCACUGAGGGAGGACGAAAUGGACCACAAGCCUGGAAUCCGAAAGCCGAGAUAGACACAUGCCACGCUGGACCACAUCCCAUGUUGAGAAAUCCCACAUGCAGGCGUGGAAGUGCGCCGGAGUCCUUCAGCUCCUCGAUAUCAUCCAUCACUAUCACUUCCAGGAAGGUCACGCACACAAACUCCAGGCCUCUGAGUCCAGCGAUGAAUAGCCUCGCCGAUGGACACAGAAAAGCUUUAGUGGUCAAAGUCACUGAACAGAGGACGAAAAGCACUUCCAGUCUGCCCAUCGCCUCGACCUCUGGCUCUGAUCAUGAAGAGAUGGACCAUGGUGUGGUCCUGAGAAGAAAGGCAACCAUUGUGAAAAUGACCGAACAGAGAGAGCGUUUCAGUCCAGUGAAAUACAGACACAGCUACACUGAAGGACUCCAUAAUGAAUCUAAAGUCAGUCCCUCACCAUUAAACCAACCGUUAACUAUAUCUCUAGAGCCAGGAGGAAACCAGUGGAGGUCCCAGCACAGAUCUAGCCUAUCUCUCUACCUCAACAACCCAAACGAUAGCAGCGCAGUAGGGGAGAGCAACACCAAAACACACAAGCCACCUCGAAGGCCUCUCAGCUGCGACGCAAGCCUGUUUAACCACACAGAACUUGGCAGUAAUGCAGUUAUACAGCCAGCGUUUCACAACAAGAGCUCUCCUGUUCCCCAGAAGACAAAUAUUGACCUUGUUAGUUCCAGCAGCAGCGAAGCAAGAAGGCGCUGGGCCUCCGGUGGCGAGGAUGGGAGCAAGAGGAAAGAGUGGGAUCAUAACUCGGCUGAUCUGAGCGCAGACGCCGUCCUGGCCCUGAACGCCGCUGCGGUUAUUGCCAACAUAAAGCUGCAGGCCCAGCAGAGACGAACUACAUCCCACACAGCAACAGCAGGAGGCUUUAGUGAUCAGACGGCCCGAUUUCAUCCAGCGCUCACAGGCCAGGGUUCGAGCGCUCGAGAGGAGGUCGCAGGAGAGGCAGAACUCCCACAGCUCACCGCAGACAGUCGAGAGCGGAGGAAGCCUUGUGAAAUCCAAAGACAGAAGCAUCAUGGGAAAGAGUCUACAGCUGCGGUCCAGGAGAAACUUCUGGAGCAGAUUUUGCAGAGGGGAGGAAAUCACUGACAUCGCCUUGGACUCGUGUUUCUCCUCACUCCACAGUUCUCAUGCCGGCCCUUGAAAAAUAUGACAUGACAUUAGUUAGAAAUGUUAUGGAAUAGUUCCUUCCAGAACGAAUGUGCCUCAAACAUGGACUGCAGCCUCAUUUCUGUGGCUCUGGAUUACAUCUUCUCUCUCUUUACAUACAUUACUGGUUAAACAUUUUGAAUAAUUAUGGUUUUAAUGUUACAGCUAGGCUUAUGUUCAGCUAUGCUGCAUUUAUUUGCUCAAAAAUACAGUAAAAACUGUAACAAAUUUGAAAUAUUAUCACAAUUUAAAACAACUGUUUCCAAUUUGAAUAUAUUUUAACAUGUAAUUUAUUCCUGUGAUGCGCAGCUGUGUUUUCAGCAUCAUUACUCCAGUCUUCAGUGUCACAUGAUCUUCAGAAAUCAUUCUAAUAUUCUGAUUUGCUGCUCAAGAAAAAUGUAUGAUUAUUAUCCAUGUUGAAAACAGUGUUUGCUGCUUCAUAUUUUAUAGAAACGUUGCAUUUUUCAGUCCUACAGAUUCUCAACAGUAUCACAUGGCAAACACAGGACAUCAGGAGAGUCUUUUGGCUUCUCAGAGAUGCUACAGUUGCCAUAUAGACAGAUUGUUUGCCCUUUCUGUGCCUCUAUCCCUGUCAUAUUAUAUUAUGUAAGAGACACAACAUAAAAGAGCACAUUACGGCUCCGGUCCUCAUCGCUAAAAGCCUAAAAUCCAACAUUUGAAGACAUUCUUAUAACAUGAAGGGCCUGAUCCCGCUCUCAUGCAGUCGUAGGUUCUGCGGGCUCAUUAUGACAUCACUAGCCUUCCUCUGUCCGUGUCUCUCCGAGCCAUUAGCCGGGAGCAAAAGGAAUUUGACCUCGUCUGAAUAAGAAUGCAUCACUAAUGGAGCCGAGUGCUUGCACGGGGUGAAAGAGGCUUUUGUCCUCUCUCUGAAUGAGCCGAGACUGUCCCACAUGUGCCUGCUUAGACGGGACACGACUGCGCAAUAGUCGAGUUAUAAACUGAAGCCUUGCAGUAAAACUUGACUUGAUAGACUUUAUAUUAUGUCCUAUCACUUUGUUUGGUAUCUUAACUAUCACAUUUCAAAAUCAAAAGAUUGGGCCAGAAGAUGUGAAGUGGAGUAAUGUAGCUUCCUUUGUGUGUAAAAAGAUGCAUUUUAGACCAGACAUUACACAAGUACAGAAAUGUAAGUGCAAAUGCUCAGCCUUUGGACAAAUUAUCCCUGUAAGUCCCUAUAAGGAAAGUCAUUUCACUCAGUGGCCGUCUUUGUAACACUAUUUCUGACAUGCAAGUAACAGCUUUUAUUUCUUUGAAUGGGGAAACAUCAAAUUCGUCUAAGCAAUGCAGCAAUAAAAUUGUCUGUUUAUGUCAUAUUUGCAUUUACAGGUUACUCAAGGGUGCGCUAGAAUUUUAGAAGAUGUUAUUCAGUGAAUGGACGGCACAGGUGAAAGCGUGCAGUGAAGUUUAUUGGACAUGUAUAUGGUGAACACUGACCCUUCUUUAUCACAGGAGCUCGUCUGGAGUCUGUUUCACACCUGAAGACAGCUGGUACAUUGACCCCGGGAUGGGACGGGACAAUCCCAGAACCUCUGAAUUACGUCAACAAAGAACUCGGGGCCCAUGAGGGCCAUUCUAGCAAAUGGGUCCUUUUGUGUUCCUCAUUAACAUAUGAUUUAACUUCAUAACUAAAACAAAAACUGAAGAAAAAUUAAAAA